This 233-nucleotide unclassified non-coding RNA is filed under the name Hevea brasiliensis (rubber tree). The record is from RNAcentral. Lineage: Eukaryota; Viridiplantae; Streptophyta; Magnoliopsida; Malpighiales; Euphorbiaceae.
AAGAAGAAGAAGAAGAAGAAAGCUUUAUUGUGCAAGAAUUGGAUAACAGAGAUGGGAUUUCUUGUGCAUCCAGCCCACCAGCUCUCAAAUAAGCCCAAAAUGAGACCCAUUUGCUUUAACAAUCUUCCCAUCACAAACACCAUAUACUCUUUGAUUUCCCACGUGAUUUCAGCCUUAGCUCUCAUCUUCUUCCACCAGCAACACCACCACCACACCACAACCAUAGAAAUCUG